Molecule: non-coding RNA, 570 nt
Filed under: Paenibacillus macerans
Lineage: Bacteria; Bacillati; Bacillota; Bacilli; Caryophanales; Paenibacillaceae
Description: Bacterial small subunit ribosomal RNA
Rfam family: Bacterial small subunit ribosomal RNA
Source: Rfam by way of RNAcentral
GAGUUUGAUCCUGGCUCAGGACGAACGCUGGCGGCGUGCCUAAUACAUGCAAGUCGAGCGGACCUGAUGGAGUGCUUGCACUCCUGACGGUUAGCGGCGGACGGGUGAGUAACACGUAGGCAACCUGCCCGUAAGACCGGGAUAACUACCGGAAACGGUAGCUAAUACCGGAUAAUCAAGUCUUCCGCAUGGGAGGCUUGGGAAAGGCGGUUCUGAAUUUAUUCAGGGCUGUCACUUACGGAUGGGCCUGCGGCGCAUUAGCUAGUUGGUGGGGUAACGGCUCACCAAGGCGACGAUGCGUAGCCGACCUGAGAGGGUGAACGGCCACACUGGGACUGAGACACGGCCCAGACUCCUACGGGAGGCAGCAGUAGGGAAUCUUCCGCAAUGGACGAAAGUCUGACGGAGCAACGCCGCGUGAGUGAUGAAGGUUUUCGGAUCGUAAAGCUCUGUUGCCAGGGAAGAACGUCUUCUGGAGUAACUGCCAGGAGAGUGACGGUACCUGAGAAGAAAGCCCCGGCUAACUACGUGCCAGCAGCCGCGGUAAUACGUAGGGGGCAAGCGUUGUCC